UGCUGCCCCUGAAAUGGUAAUUUUAAGGAAAUUUUGCGGUUUUUGGUUAUUAUCUUGAAUAUUAUUAUAGAUAGAGAUAAACUGUAAACAGCAAUAAUGUUCAGCAAAGUAAGAUCUACAAAUAAGUCAAUAUGACCAAAAUGGUCAGUUGACCACUUUAGGAGUUAUUGCCCUUUAUAGUCAAUUUUUAACCAUUUUUCGUAAAUCUUAGUAAUCUUUUAGAAAAAUCUUCUCCUCUGAAACUACUGGGCCAAAUUUAACCAAACUUGGCCAUAAUCAUCAUCGGGGUAUCUAGUUUAAAAAAUGUGUCUGGUGC
Molecule: long non-coding RNA, 316 nt
Filed under: Mytilus galloprovincialis (Mediterranean mussel)
Lineage: Eukaryota; Metazoa; Mollusca; Bivalvia; Mytilida; Mytilidae
Source: RNAcentral